GGGAAGAGCUGUACGGCCUUC
This 21-nucleotide microRNA is filed under the name Homo sapiens (human). RNAcentral's name for it is "hsa-miR-6077". Lineage: Eukaryota; Metazoa; Chordata; Mammalia; Primates; Hominidae. The record is from miRBase by way of RNAcentral.